GUCUGACGGAGCACGCCGCGUGAGUGAUGAAGGUUUUCGGAUCGUAAAGCUCUGUUGUUAGGGAAGAACAAGUACCGUUCGAAUAGGGCGGUACCUUGACGGUACCUAACCAGAAAGCCACGGCUAACUACGUGCCAGCAGCCGCGGUAAUACGUAGGUGGCAAGCGUUGUCCGGAAUUAUUGGGCGUAAAGGGCUCGCAGGCGGUUUCUUAAGUCUGAUGUGAAAGCCCCCGGCUCAACCGGGGAGGGUCAUUGGAAACUGGGGAACUUGAGUGCAGAAGAGGAGAGUGGAAUUCCACGUGUAGCGGUGAAAUGCGUAGAGAUGUGGAGGAACACCAGUGGCGAAGGCGACUCUCUGGUCUGUAACUGACGCUGAGGAGCGAAAGCGUGGGGAGCGAACAGGAUUAGAUACCCUGGUAGUCCACGCCGUAAACGAUGAGUGCUAAGUGUUAGGGGGUUUCCGCCCCUUAGUGCUGCAGCUAACGCAUUAAGCACUCCGCCUGGGGAGUACGGUCGCAAGACUGAAACUCAAAGGAAUUGACGGGGGCCCGCACAAGCGGUGGAGCAUGUGGUUUAAUUCGAAGCAACGCGAAGAACCUUACCAGGUCUUGACAUCCUCUGACAAUCCUAGAGAUAGGACGUCCCCUUCGGGGGCAGAGUGACAGGUGGUGCAUGGUUGUCGUCAGCUCGUGUCGUGAGAUGUUGGGUUAAGUCCCGCAACGAGCGCAACCCUUGAUCUUAGUUGCCAGCAUUCAGUUGGGCACUCUAAGGUGACUGCCGGUGACAAACCGGAGGAAGGUGGGGAUGACGUCAAAUCAUCAUGCCCCUUAUGACCUGGGCUACACACGUGCUACAAUGGACAGAACAAAGGGCAGCGAAACCG
This 883-nucleotide ribosomal RNA is filed under the name Bacillus tequilensis. RNAcentral describes it as "bacterial SSU rRNA". It matches the Rfam family "Bacterial small subunit ribosomal RNA", at positions 381 to 1257 of the family's 1533-position model. The record is from RNAcentral. Lineage: Bacteria; Bacillati; Bacillota; Bacilli; Caryophanales; Bacillaceae.